RNAcentral lists this ribosomal RNA (441 nucleotides) under uncultured Acinetobacter sp. RNAcentral's name for it is "bacterial SSU rRNA". It matches the Rfam family "Bacterial small subunit ribosomal RNA", at positions 358 to 790 of the family's 1533-position model. Lineage: Bacteria; Pseudomonadati; Pseudomonadota; Gammaproteobacteria; Moraxellales; Moraxellaceae. The record is from RNAcentral.
GGAAUAUUGGACAAUGGGGGGAACCCUGAUCCAGCCAUGCCGCGUGUGUGAAGAAGGCCUUUUGGUUGUAAAGCACUUUAAGCGAGGAGGAGGCUACUUAGAUUAAUACUCUAAGAUAGUGGACGUUACUCGCAGAAUAAGCACCGGCUAACUCUGUGCCAGCAGCCGCGGUAAUACAGAGGGUGCAAGCGUUAAUCGGAUUUACUGGGCGUAAAGGGUACGUAGGUGGUCUUUUAAGUCGGAUGUGAAAUCCCUGAGCUUAACUUAGGAAUUGCAUUCGAUACUGGGAGACUAGAGUAUGGGAGAGGAUGGUAGAAUUCCAGGUGUAGCGGUGAAAUGCGUAGAGAUCUGGAGGAAUACCGAUGGCGAAGGCAGCCAUCUGGCCUAAUACUGACACUGAGGUACGAAAGCAUGGGGAGCAAACAGGAUUAGAUACCCGAG